UGGAACCUAAGAUAGAACAUUGCCACCUCCUAGAUUAUGUUGCCCCCAUCUUACAAGGCACUGCCACCAAAGUAGAACCAUAACUGAGGCUUCAGAAGAUCAUUCUACAGCUCAACUGAACCAGCCUUUUCAGGAUGAUGGGGAACGUAAUAGGACCAGUGAAAUCCAUGAGCACGUGCCCUGAGAAGUAACUUAUUUGUUUAUAAGUGAUGCUGUGUGGAAUCCAUGAUGUUGGUGCUCCGUGUUGGUCUCUGUUGCUGGUAGAUUCAGCAGUCAGCGGUGUGUAUAGAAAGAUCACUCUUGAAUGAUGUCAUCAAUCAAACGAAUAGUGUCAUGGCUGGUGUAAGGGAAAGAUGAGUAAAGUCUGCAAGGACUGGAAUACGACAUAAGCCCGGAGAGUUGAUGUAAGUCUGAAGUGGGAAGUCGACGUGCGUUGCUGCCCUUUCCAGCUUAAGGUAAACUCUUUGUGGUGAUAUUUAUUGAAGGAGGAAAAAGACGUUGACUCAAUCAAUACUGUAAAGCGGGCGCCUGGGGAUGUGUUGAUUGCUAAAACAACAAAAUCACAUGUAGAACAGGAGCUGCACUUGGAAUAAUCAUGUGGUCGGGAUUAUCAGAAUUGGCUGUCAUUCUCCAAGAUCUGUCUGUUUCUCUACAGGACAAAUAUGUAUGUUGAAAGGAAUGUCAUAAAAUCACCACCCUGCAUCUUUCAAAUUCUUGAUGGCGCCGCAAUUAUUCCAGUUCCUCCGGGGUGAAAUGUUGUUUUCAGUUUACUAUCUUUAUAGUCAGGACGCACAGGUCUUGAGAUCAAGGCGUGGAAACAGAAGUGCCUCUCUCACGACUUACCCCUAGAGGUGCACUGCCCAAUG
Molecule: long non-coding RNA, 866 nt
Filed under: Equus caballus (horse)
Lineage: Eukaryota; Metazoa; Chordata; Mammalia; Perissodactyla; Equidae
Description: lncRNA (ENSECAG00000044789.1)
Source: RNAcentral